This is a long non-coding RNA of Eurytemora carolleeae, 257 nucleotides long. RefSeq lists it as uncharacterized. NCBI's taxonomy places the organism in Eukaryota, Metazoa, Arthropoda, Copepoda, Calanoida, Temoridae. The record is from RefSeq and is a predicted model, not a curated record. The transcript is spliced from 4 exons.
AGAAUGUGAAUUUACGAAUAGAAAAAUGCCGAGGAUUUCACGGAUUAAUAAACAUGAAGAAAUCGAUCCUAAUUCUGAGCGUUCUAGGUUUGUGUGCUAACAGUAUUCAGGUUUGCCAGGAUACACAGAUGAACCUAUGUGAGAAUGGAGGAGAAUGCUUUAUCCAAUCCUCUUCAUUGAGGAAACCAUCUUCAGAUCAGGACGAAUAUCCGAAGGUUCAAACCUGCUCCUGCCCUGAUGGGUUUGGUUUGAAUACA